UACGUAGGGUGCGAGCGUUAAUCGGAAUACUGGGCGUAAAGCGUGCGCAGGCGGUUUGUAAGACAGGUGUGAAAUCCCCGGGCUUAACCUGGGAACUGCAUUGGUGACUGGCAGGCUUUGAGUGUGGCAGAGGGAGUAGAAUUCCACGUGUAGCGGUGAAAUGCGUAGAGAUUUGGAGGAACACCAGUGGCGAAGGCGACUUCUGGUCGUGUAACUGACACUGAGGCGCGAAAGCGUGGGGAGCGAACAGG
RNAcentral lists this ribosomal RNA (251 nucleotides) under uncultured bacterium. RNAcentral's name for it is "partial 16S ribosomal RNA". It matches the Rfam family "Bacterial small subunit ribosomal RNA", at positions 524 to 776 of the family's 1533-position model. The record is from RNAcentral.